AAAGGUCACUAAAACUAAAUUAAAUCAUCAACUGUCAUAUCAUGCAACCAGAAAGGUCCUGGGUUCUGAUAUAAAAGCUCUAAAGAUAAAAGAUGCUUCGAGUGUUCGUGUUAGUGGUGGUGGUGCUGGGUUGUCUCCUGACCUCCUCAGUAUGCAGGGCUCAAGUGUACUAUGUCAAACCUUCACAGCCUCCAAACACCACCUGUCCUGGUGAGCUCAAGCCGUGUUACACUCUCGAUUACUAUGCCCAGAAUGCUACAUCACUGCUUAGUGGAAGAAGCAAUGUCACGUUACUGUUUGUUGAGGGUGUACAUCUUUUAACCGAACUGACUUUUGAGGUUUUUGAAACUGAGCAUGUAACAUUGUCUGCAUUAACUGAGUAUAUCAAUGUUACUGUUAUGUUAUCUACUGGUAGCGAUAUGAAUUUCACUCUUGUGGACGAUUUACAUUUAGGUAAUUUAGUUGUUUUGGCUGCUUUAUGUCCGGGCAACAACAUUCCAGGCAACAGCAUUAACACAACAUUUGUCAGAUGGGUUUAUCACUCUAACGUAACUGUCUUCUGCUGUGACUUAAAUCUUCAGAUGAUCCAGGAAUUUCAAUUGUACCAUUCCACUUAUAACUAUGCUGAAAUUAACAUGUACAAUUUUAAAGAGAUGGAUAAUGUGAUCUUAACUUUUUCUGAAUGUUGUUUCCUAAAUAACGCAAUCAUCAUCAUAUCCCUAAAUAGCUCCUUCAAUGGAUCUAUUACGAACUCAUAUGGUUUUAGUGUUUAUGUUCUUAAUCGAGGCGGCUUAUUCUCUCUAACAAUCAGAAACUGUGUGAGCCGUCCUGGAGGCGAUCAGGUUACGGUUAAAGUUUCUGAAGCACCUUCUAUCGUAAAAAAUAAGUGCUUUGAGCUCAUUUUAGAAAACAAUCAUUUUGAUGACUUUUACUUUUCGUCAUUGAAUAAUCCAGAUUUUGAAAGAUUUCUUUGGGUAAAAAAUUGCUCAUUUUAUCAUUCUGAAUUUUUUUCCAAAGCAUUUUUUUCUGAUAUUUCAAUUGACCUCAGCAAUUUUUAUGAUACUCCGGUUUUUUUUAGCUCUGCAAAGGAAUGUACUGUUAGGAAUGUUAGCUUUGAUAGCAGUAUCUUCAAUGUUAUGGGUCCUUCCACAGUUCUCAUAGACAAUUGUCGGUUUGAAAAGUCAACAGAUUUAGAUAUUUCUCCGUUCAUCAUGUCUGAAGUGUGUUUAUUCAUAGUCAAUGAAUCAGUGUUCAAAAAUAACCAAGGUUACCACGGAGGGGCUCUAUAUUUGUAUAAUAGUAGACUAUAUCUGACUCAUAAUUCAGUAUUAGUUUUCGAUAAUAACUCAGCAAUUGAUAAAGGUGGUGCUGUUUAUGUGGAGAAUCCAAUGGAUGAAAAAUUGUUGCUUCCUGGAAAUUAUCCAACGCCAUCCAAAUGUGUUAUCUGUUUAAAGUACAAUGUAGCUGAUGGAAGCAAGCUAGACAACUUGAUCAUUUUUAAAGAUAAUAUUGCAGCAAACGGAGGUAAUAAUAUCUAUGGAGCUUCCAUACAGUCCGAUUGUUUAGUUUCCCCUGAUGGACAAAAUGCUAGCUACGAAGUUCAAGCUGAUAUUUUUCAAUUUGAUAAUAACUCAAAAAUAAAUCAUUCGUCAGUGUCUUCUGAUCCAAAACGGGUUUGCUUGUGUGAUGAUAAUGGGAUUCCAAUGUGUGCUAAUUUGUCUUAUAUUAUCCAGCAUAGAAAGGUUGCUCCUGGUGAGAAGUUCAAUGUCAGUUUGGCACUGGUUGGAGGUGAUUUAGGUGUUACUGUUGGAUCAGUUUAUGCAACACUAUUUCAAGGAGAUCCAGGUGUACGAAAUGACUUAGCCACAAAGAUCCUUUCUAGUGCAGAGUGCUUACUUGAAGAGUAUGUAAUAUACUCUGAAAACUAUUAUGGUACUAGCUUGCUUUUUCUCUCAUCUCAUGUAAUUAAUAAUAACGCAGAGUCUUACUUUUUUCUAGACAAUGAUUCCAUGAGGAAGUAUGAAAAAAACAAUGAAAUUGAUUACUAUUUGGCCACCACACAUAUAGUCUUGAAUAUUACUCUUCAGAAGUGCCCUAUAGGGCUUAUCCUAAAAAAAUCGUCAUGCCAAUGUAUCCGGACACUUACGGACAUUGGUUUAACCAAAUGUGUCAUUUUCAAUGGAGAGGUGCUAAUAACACGCAGUGAUACUAUCUGGGUGAGCUACUCUGGAGUUGUAAACAAUGAGACGGGUGUUGUUGCAUAUAAAUAUUGCCCAUUUGAUUACUGUAAAAUAGAAGAGAUUGCUGUCAACCUGCACAAGCCCGACAGUCAGUGUACUUUCAAUCACAGUGGUGUUCUGUGUGGAGGUUGUUCCCCAAACCUCAGCUUAGCCUUGGGUAGCCCUCAGUGUCUGUCUUGCUCCGAUAAUGGAUACGUGGCUUUCUUUAUUCCCUUUGCAAUUGCUGGUUUGUUGUUAGUGCUCUUCAUUAAACUGUUUGAUCUCACAAUAACCAAAGGAGCUGUCAAUGGACUGCUUUUGUAUGCUAACAUUCUGUGGACUAAUCAAAGCAUUUUCUUUCCUCAUGCAAUUCGCAAAUCAUCUUCUCUAUUUCAUUUUUUUGUCACAUUUGUGGCAUGGCUCAAUUUAGAUCUUGGAAUUGAAACCUGUUUUAUUCGUGGCCUGGAUAUGUAUUGGAAAACUUGGCUGCAAUUUUUGUUCCCUCUUUACAUUUGGAGUAUUGCCGGGCUCAUCAUUUUAGCUUGCCGCUAUUCUGACAAAGCUACUAAACUGUUUGGCAACAAUUCAGUUCAUGUUUUAGCUACAUUGUUCCUACUCUCGUACUCCAAGCUUCUCCGUACAAUUAUUACAUCAUUGGGUGUUGCUAUUCUUGACUAUCCUAGUGGGACGAGAGUUGUGUGGCUAGCAGAUGGUAAUGUUCCAUAUUUUGGUAUACGCCACUCAUUCCUUUUCAUAGCGGCAAUAGUUACUCUGAUAAUAUUCUGGUUGCCUUAUACAGUAACAAUACUGCUAGUUCCCUGGCUAAGAAAAUGUGGUAAUAUCUCAUGGAUUAACAAACUAAAGCCGUUCUUUGAUGCUCAUUACGGCCCCCUCAAAGACAAGCACCAGUACUGGAUUGGAUUGACAUUGCUAGUACGUGUGAUACUUGCCAUUACCAAUGUUGUGAUUCAAGCUAUUGAUCCUACUAUCAAUCUUGUCGUAACUAUAGCUUUGUCUUCACCAUUGCUCUAUGUGGUUGGUUUCUCAUAUAGAAAAUGGUAUCUUUCAAUUAUUGAGGCCUCCUUUGUUGCCAAUAUGAUUAUUCUUGGGGGAGGAUUUUUGUACUCAAGUAACCAACAUUUUCAGAAUGCUUUUGCUAGUGUUUCUGUUGGUAUUGCAUUUCUCACAUUCCUACUAAUAAUCUGUGUACAAGGGUACACUCAAGUGAAGGCACUUUGUCGCUGCAGAACUGGUGUACGUAGAGAGUAUGAAAACAUUAACGGUGUGAAUGACUCUAAAACAGAGAGUACCCCUCCAACUCAUUCCGUGGUGUCAUUGCUCACUCCAGACUACUACCGAGAACCAUUGCUGGAGAGUGACACUUACUGACUCCCUGAGAAUUAUUGAAAAGACAAUGAUUUUAUAAUAAGCAGAUCGAAAAGUGUUAUUGCAUGUAUAAUUGUUUUAAGUAUGCUCACUCAAUCUAUACAUGUGUAGUUUUGUUCUCUGCAACAUUUUUGUGAACAUAUUAUUUUUUAUGGUCAA
Long non-coding RNA from Halichondria panicea, 3764 nucleotides. RefSeq lists it as uncharacterized. NCBI's taxonomy places the organism in Eukaryota, Metazoa, Porifera, Demospongiae, Suberitida, Halichondriidae. The record is from RefSeq and is a predicted model, not a curated record. The transcript is spliced from 2 exons.